Molecule: unclassified non-coding RNA, 279 nt
Filed under: plant metagenome
Description: partial contains small subunit ribosomal RNA, internal transcribed spacer 1, and 5.8S ribosomal RNA
Source: RNAcentral
UCUCCGUUGGUGAACCAGCGGAGGGAUCAUUACUGGAAUCGCAAGAUCCCACAACCCUGUGAACCUACCGAAACGUUGCCUCGGCGGGUGCCCCGGCUCCUCGCCGGGCGCCGCCCGCGCCCGCCGCGCCCUCCUCUUCCCCUGCAGCUUGGCAUCUCAGAGUUCCAGAAAGUAAGUCAAAACUAUCAACAACGGAUCUCAUGGCUCUAGCAUCGGUGAAGAACGUCGCUGAACGGAAGAGCACACGGCUAAACCACAGUUACUUCCUACGGUCCCAGU